AAUCCAUGGUGUAGGUACUUCUGAAUCAGUAUCUUGAAACACUUCUAUGCUUCGUAAAGGCUUUCUCCUUCUGUCUGCUUGAAUUUCUUUUCUUAAUUGGACC
This 103-nucleotide small nucleolar RNA is filed under the name Gossypium barbadense (sea-island cotton). Its description in RNAcentral is "Plant small nucleolar RNA R71". RNAcentral also lists the same sequence under 1 other name. The record is from Rfam by way of RNAcentral. Lineage: Eukaryota; Viridiplantae; Streptophyta; Magnoliopsida; Malvales; Malvaceae.